RNAcentral lists this long non-coding RNA (919 nucleotides) under Nicotiana benthamiana. Its description in RNAcentral is "long non-coding RNA (NBEN_LNC017755)". The record is from RNAcentral. Lineage: Eukaryota; Viridiplantae; Streptophyta; Magnoliopsida; Solanales; Solanaceae.
CUACCGGAAAACAGAAAAGGUCAGAAGAAAGUUGGAUCUCUUUCCUUGUCUCUCUAUCUAUGUCUUUUAGCUCUGAGUACUUGAAUUUUGUUUUAGGAACUGAACAAAUGCAUAUCUUCUCUGGAAACUGUCCUAUUUCAUUUCUUAUGUAUCUUCCUAUAUUGCAAGUUUGUAUUCCUUAUUGCUUGUAAGACAAGAGGGGUUGCUCUGAUGGUAAGCAACCCCCACUUCCAACCGAGAGGUUGUGAUUUGUUAAUUGUACAAAAGGAGACAAGAGGGGUUGCUCUGAUGGUAAACAACCUCCACUUCCAACCGAGAGGUUGUGAGUUCGAGCCUCCCCAAGAGCAAGGUGGGAAGUUCUUGGAGGGAAGGAUGCCGGGGUCAAUUUGGAAACAGCCUCUCUACCCAAGGGUAGGGGUAAGGUCUGCGUACACACUACCCUCCCCAUACCCCACUAAGUGUGAGUAUACUGGGUUGUUGUUGUUGUAUUCCUUAUUGCUUGGCUCUUAGUCUUUUAAGUUUACUUGUUAGCACUUCUUCUUGAUAAAAGUAUUGCUAAAUUGUAGGACCCGGAUAUAUGAAGUUCACCAAUAAGCCUGCCGAUAAUCAACCACUAUUUUGUUCUGUCUUCUUUGCAUUUCCAAGUUAAAGAUUUGUCUGUCAAACACCAUUCCAUCUUGCGAUAAUUUAUUCAAGUACUAAUCACAGCCUUAAAUAUUUUAUGCUCCUUUUCUGUAGGAGACAAGCAGUCACCUGGGUAAUUCUAGAAGACUAUUUGACUUGGGGUAGCUAGUGGUAAGAAGCAUCCUCCUCUAACCAUGAGAAAUGGCGUUUGAUUCAACAGGGAAGCCAAGUUGGGAAGUCACUGUUGGGCUUCUGGGCAAAGGAGGUUUUAAGCGGGGUUGGGAAUCUUUUUGAG